UACACACUCAGACACACACUCAGACACACACACACUCAGACACACACACACACACACACACACACACACACACACACACACACACACACACUCAGACUUACAGCACGUUAAAUAGAUCAUAAACAGAAAUGAACAGUAAACUAAAUGUUUUAAAGGAAUCUAUACAUUUCAAAUGUGGUUUAACAAUGUGCAAAUAGUUGAGGUACGGAAGGGAAAAAUAAUUAAAUAUAAAUAUAGGUUGUUGAUGCUCCACUCGUUGCCCUGUUGUCAUGGCAACGGGCCACAAAUAAUGCUGCUGUGAUUGGACGCUGGUACUUUACUUAAAACGCUGAACUGAAAUAUAAAAUGACAACAUGUAACGUGUUUGGUUUUCACGAGCUGAAAUUUUAAAGAUCCCAGAAAUGUUUCCGUAUUCACAAAUGAGUUUACGUCCCUGUUAGUGAGCGUUUCUCCUUUUGCCAUGAUAAUUGGUUAAAUAGCAUGAUCAUUACACAGGUGCAGCUUGUGCUGGGGGACAAUAAAAGGCCCAGAGAUGUUUCAUGUUUUAAUGUUGACUGAAGGAAUGUCCACCAGAGCUGUUGCCAGAGAAUUUGAAUGUUCAUUUCUCUACCAUAAGCCGCCUCCAACAUCGUUUUUGAGAAUAUGGUUGUAUAACUGACUAGGUACCCCCCUUUCAGUCUAGUACAUUCAGGUUGUAUAACUUGACUAGGUACCCCCCUUUCAGUCUAAACAUUCAGGUUGUAUAACUGACUAGGUACCCCCCUUUCAGUCUAACACAUUCAGGUUGUAUAACUGACUAGGUACCCCUAGGUAAUGACAUUUUGUUCAGUAUAGAUAUGAUAGUUUGUCAAUGUUGGAUUUGUUUUCAUCAUCUUUGUGGGUCUGAGGGAAAUAUGUCUCUCAUACAUUGGGCAGGAGGUUAGGAAGUGCAGCUCAGUUUCCACCUCAUUUUGUGGGCAGUGAGCACAUAGCCUGUCUUCUCUUGAGAGCCAUGUCUGCCUACGGCGGCCUUUCUCAAUAGCAAGGCUUUGCUCACUGAGUCUGUUCUUUAUUUUGGGUCAGCGUGUCUCUCUGUGUCUGUCGUCUCCACCUGGUCCUCCUCAGUAAUACUGUUUAUUCUGUCUAUGAUGGACACACUCUCUCUCUGUCUGUCUCUCUGUCUCUCUCUCUGUCUCUCUCUCUGUCUCUCUGUCUGUCUCUCUCUCUGUCUCUCUCUCUGUCUCUCUCUCUGUCUCUCUCUCUGUCUCUCUCUCUG
Molecule: long non-coding RNA, 1255 nt
Organism: Oncorhynchus tshawytscha (Chinook salmon)
Lineage: Eukaryota; Metazoa; Chordata; Actinopteri; Salmoniformes; Salmonidae
Source: Ensembl